UUUCUUCUCUUCUUUCUUCUCUUCUUUUUUCGCUUCUUCUUUCUUUUUCUCGGGCUCUUUGAUUUCGAUGCUUUUAAUGGAUCCAUCGCCUUUAGAACAAAUUUUCUUCAUGAUUUUUUCAGGCGUACAACACACAACUUUGAUCUUCACCAACCCCUGUUUCUCAUCAUAAAGCUGGUCUCUAAUUUGAGGAAAUUUGGCAAGAACUUUCUUGACUUUCUUGUAGCAACGAUCGCAGUUGAGGUCGACUUUCAACACCAUAAGCACUACCUUUUCCUCCAUGGCUGAAGCUCAAGAGAAGCUGCUCCGAUCUGAAACUGAGCUAAAAUAGAGAGCCAAGGAAGUUUGGUCAAUUGGGAUGAUUGAAAAGGAAGAGACUUGGAAACAGAACAG
RNAcentral lists this unclassified non-coding RNA (393 nucleotides) under Hevea brasiliensis (rubber tree). The record is from RNAcentral. Lineage: Eukaryota; Viridiplantae; Streptophyta; Magnoliopsida; Malpighiales; Euphorbiaceae.